RNAcentral lists this ribosomal RNA (514 nucleotides) under uncultured bacterium. Its description in RNAcentral is "bacterial SSU rRNA". It matches the Rfam family "Bacterial small subunit ribosomal RNA", at positions 36 to 524 of the family's 1533-position model. The record is from RNAcentral.
GAUAACCUGGCGGCUGGCUGAUCAUGCCUGUCGAUCGAACGCACGGAGAAGCUUGCUUCUCUGAUGUUAGCGGCGGACAGGUGAGUAACACGAGCAUAACCUACCUAUAACACUGGGAUAACUUCUGGAAACCGGAGCUAAUACCGGAUAAUAUUUUGAACCGCCUGGUUCAAAAGUGGAAGAAGGUCUUGCUGUCACUUAUAUGAUGGAUCCGCGCUGCGUUAGAUACUUGGUAAGGUAACGGCUUAGCUGACGCAAUCGAUGCAUCACCGACCUGAGAGGGUGAUCCGCCACCCUGCAACUGACGCGCGGUCCAUACUCCUACGGGAGGCAGCACUAUGGAAUCUUCCGCACUGGGCGAAAGCCUGACGGAGCAACGCCGCGUGAGUGAUGAAGGUCUUCGCAUCACAGAACUCUGUUAUUCGGGAAGAACAUAUGUGUAACUAACUGUGCACAUCUUGACGGUACCUAAUCAUAAAGCCACGCCUAACUUCGUGCCAGCAGCCGCAGUAAU